AACGCUGGCGGCAUGCCUUACACAUGCAAGUCGAACGGCAGCACGGGGCAACCUGGGUGGCGAGUGGCGAACGGGUGAGUAAUGCAUCGGAACGUGCCAUUGAGUGGGGGGUAACGUAGCGAAAGUUACGCUAAUACCGCAUAUUCUGUGAGCAGGAAAGCAGGGGAUCGCAAGACCUUGCGCUCUUUGAGCGGCCGAUGUCAGAUUAGCUAGUUGGUGAGGUAACGGCUUACCAAGGCGACGAUCUGUAGCGGGUCUGAGAGGAUGAUCCGCCACACUGGAACUGAGACACGGUCCAGACUCCUACGGGAGGCAGCAGUGGGGAAUUUUGGACAAUGGGGGCAACCCUGAUCCAGCCAUGCCGCGUGAGUGAAGAAGGCCUUCGGGUUGUAAAGCUCUUUCGGCCGGGAAGAAAUCGCAUGGGUUAAUACCCUGUGUGGAUGACGGUACCGGCAUAAGAAGCACCGGCUAACUACGUG
RNAcentral lists this ribosomal RNA (479 nucleotides) under uncultured bacterium. RNAcentral's name for it is "bacterial SSU rRNA". It matches the Rfam family "Bacterial small subunit ribosomal RNA", at positions 32 to 507 of the family's 1533-position model. The record is from RNAcentral.